Molecule: ribosomal RNA, 253 nt
Filed under: uncultured bacterium
Lineage: Bacteria
Description: partial 16S ribosomal RNA
Rfam family: Bacterial small subunit ribosomal RNA
Source: RNAcentral
UACGUAGGGACCAAGCGUUGUUCGGAUUUACUGGGCGUAAAGCGCACGCAGGCGGUUUGUUAAGUCGGAUGUGAAAUCCCUCGGCUCAACUGAGGAAGUGCACCCGAAACUGGCAGGCUUGAGUACUAAAGAGGGUCGCGGAAUUCCCGGUGUAGAGGUGAAAUUCGUAGAUAUCGGGAGGAACACCGGUGGCGAAGGCGGCGACCUGGGUAGAUACUGACGCUGAGGAGCGAAAGCGUGGGGAGCGAACAGG